Molecule: ribosomal RNA, 383 nt
Filed under: uncultured Escherichia sp.
Lineage: Bacteria; Pseudomonadati; Pseudomonadota; Gammaproteobacteria; Enterobacterales; Enterobacteriaceae
Description: bacterial SSU rRNA
Rfam family: Bacterial small subunit ribosomal RNA
Source: RNAcentral
AGAGUUUGAUCCUGGCUCAGAUUGAACGCUGGCGGCAGGCCUAACACAUGCAAGUCGAACGGUAACAGGAAGCAGCUUGCUGCUUCGCUGACGAGUGGCGGACGGGUGAGUAAUGUCUGGGAAACUGCCUGAUGGAGGGGGAUAACUACUGGAAACGGUAGCUAAUACCGCAUAACGUCGCAAGACCAAAGAGGGGGACCUUCGGGCCUCUUGCCAUCGGAUGUGCCCAGAUGGGAUUAGCUAGUAGGUGGGGUGACGGCUCACCUAGGCGACGAUCCCUAGCUGGUCUGAGAGGAUGACCAGCCACACUGGAACUGAGACACGGUCCAGACUCCUACGGGAGGCAGCAGUGGGGAAUAUUGCACAAUGGGCGCAAGCCUGAU